This 492-nucleotide ribosomal RNA is filed under the name uncultured bacterium. RNAcentral's name for it is "partial 16S ribosomal RNA". It matches the Rfam family "Bacterial small subunit ribosomal RNA", at positions 29 to 507 of the family's 1533-position model. The record is from RNAcentral.
AGUGAACGCUGGCGGUAGGCCUAACACAUGCAAGUCGAACGGCAGCACAGUAAGAGCUUGCUCUUACGGGUGGCGAGUGGCGGACGGGUGAGGAAUACAUCGGAAUCUACUUUUUCGUGGGGGAUAACGUAGGGAAACUUACGCUAAUACCGCAUACGACCUACGGGUGAAAGCAGGGGAUCUUCGGACCUUGCGCGAUUGAAUGAGCCGAUGUCGGAUUAGCUAGUUGGCGGGGUAAAGGCCCACCAAGGCGACGAUCCGUAGCUGGUCUGAGAGGAUGAUCAGCCACACUGGAACUGAGACACGGUCCAGACUCCUACGGGAGGCAGCAGUGGGGAAUAUUGGACAAAGGGGGAAAGCCUGAUCCAGCCAUACCGCGUGGGUGAAGAAGGACUUCGGGUUGUAAAGCCCUUUUGUUGGGAAAGAAAAGCAGCAGGUUAAUACCCCGCUGUUCUGACGGUACCCAAAGAAUAAGCACCGGCUAACUUCGUG